Long non-coding RNA from Homo sapiens (human), 786 nucleotides. Ensembl annotates it as long intergenic non-protein coding RNA 2796. The record is from Ensembl. Lineage: Eukaryota; Metazoa; Chordata; Mammalia; Primates; Hominidae.
AGCAGCUCCUCUUCUUCAGUACAGAUGCUUCUCAACUUACAAUGAGGUUAUACCCUUAUAAACACAUGGUAGCAAGAAUACAGCUGUGAGAAGAUGCAUUGUGCCAAGAUGAAUUUAGUGAGUUUGGAAGAGGACCCUGAGCCUGAAAUGAGAAUUGCAACCCUGGCUGACACCUCCAUUUCAGUCUGACAUGACCUUAACAGAGGACCCAGAUAACCUGUACUACACACCUGACCUAUGAAAACUUAUCUCAUGGACCUAGUCACAUGAAACUGGGUAAAAUUUGUUCAUGUAGAAAUGAAUAAAUGUAAUCCGUCCUAAUUACAAUAAUUCGUAAACAAGGAGAGGAAUGCAAAAGGAUAAUUUCAAUGUUUUUGAAUUUGAUAUAAGGUCUACUGCGUUGCAGAUGGCAAGAUUUCCUAUGAUUGACUUAGGCAGGGUGUGAAUAGCACUGCAAAGCAGGAGAGAGAAGUUGAGCUUUCAAAGUGACAGUCUGGUUACAGACUGAUUGAAGACGUGUAUGUCCAAGCAUGUACAUAAUGGGCUUGGGGAAAGAAAAGGAAUGAGAAUGGAAAAAGGAACACAGCGCUUGUGUUCAUAUUGAUUUCUUUCUUUUUAUGUGCAUUAUUGCCAAAGCAUGAGAAAAAACCUAUAAUUCAGGUAAUCUGGCUCUAUCUUAAUGUGAGAAAUAAAAUAAAAUUUGUGUCAAUAGGUAUGGGAUUGCAAAUUUAAGUCUAAUGAAUAUAUAUUUAAAUAAGCCCAGGAAAAAAUGCUCAAGAUCACUAA